This 85-nucleotide transfer RNA is filed under the name Felis catus (domestic cat). It matches the Rfam family "tRNA". From Rfam's summary of the family: Transfer RNA (tRNA) molecules are approximately 80 nucleotides in length. Their secondary structure includes four short double-helical elements and three loops (D, anti-codon, and T loops). Further hydrogen bonds mediate the characteristic L-shaped molecular structure. tRNAs have two regions of fundamental functional importance: the anti-codon, which is responsible for specific mRNA codon recognition, and the 3' end, to which the tRNAs corresponding amino acid is attached (by aminoacyl-tRNA synthetases). tRNAs cope with the degeneracy of the genetic code in two manners: having more than one tRNA (with a specific anti-codon) for a particular amino acid; and 'wobble' base-pairing, i.e. permitting non-standard base-pairing at the 3rd anti-codon position. Lineage: Eukaryota; Metazoa; Chordata; Mammalia; Carnivora; Felidae. The record is from Rfam by way of RNAcentral.
GCCUGGGUGGCUCAGUGAGUAAAGUGUCUGACUUCGGCUCAGGUCAUGAUCUUACAGUUUGUGGGUUCGAACCCCACGUCAGGUU